GAAAAGUUAGUUUAAGUAAAAACACUAACUUGUCAAGCUAGAAAUAUUAUUAAUACUUUUCC
RNAcentral lists this transfer RNA (62 nucleotides) under Aneurus similis. Its description in RNAcentral is "tRNA-Asp". It matches the Rfam family "tRNA". Rfam says of the family: Transfer RNA (tRNA) molecules are approximately 80 nucleotides in length. Their secondary structure includes four short double-helical elements and three loops (D, anti-codon, and T loops). The record is from RNAcentral. Lineage: Eukaryota; Metazoa; Arthropoda; Insecta; Hemiptera; Aradidae.